CUUUGCAUUUCCCCUAUCUUAUGUAUCUUUCCGGUGGUUUGGGGGUCGAGACCCAGCAUCUCAACUGAGAUCUUCGUGAUGUUAACUGCUGAAAAAACAAUGGGAUGGUUUUUUUCUCCUACAGACUCAGACAAGUUUGAAUACGGAUCCUAAAAUCACAAGCCCCCUGCCCUAGAAAUAACCUCCUUGCUCCAGGGCGCUGCACAUGACAUCCUGCGGCCUGAGGAACGUGCCAGCCGGUGUUAACGCAUGGAUCACAGGCAGCCCUCUAGAUCAGAGACCACCUUCGCUAAAGCUUGGAUUUGGGAAGGGUCCCAGCUGCUCGCCCCAAGAAUCCAUCCAGAGGUGUCAGAGGAAAUACGUAAGGCGAACACCCGACAUUUCUCCUACCACCCCGAGAUCCACUGCUCCCUUCAGAGCUGCGGAGCAGAAAGCCCCAGCCACGGCCCUGCAGCUGGGGGCACCAAGCUUCUGGAGGCAGCACCUAAACCCCUGCCCUCCCUACGGAACCGAGAGUGAAAAUAGCACCGCAUGCAAAUGGCUGGCAGGGGCUGCGGGGCGGCGAGGGGGCCGUGCCAGCCCCGUGCAGCAGCACAGCAGCGCACACAGAUCAGCAAGAGUGAGCAGGGAGCAGCCAACGCCUCCGCCCUGCCACUGCUGAUCCCCUGCUAAACCUUCCGUCUCUUUUCAUGGCCAGACUUGUUUCCCUACCUCCUUUUUUCUUUCUAAAUACAUUUUUCUCAGUGAAGGAAGCUCAGAAACACUUUUACAGGCUCAGACAGGAUUGGAGGCCCCGAGUUAGCUGCAUGGGUCAAACAGUCACGAAGGCUCUGCAGGCAGCACAUGGCAUCGCUGCCUACAGUCAGUGAUGCAAAACCACCUCAGCUUGUCACCAUCCUCCCCUUCCAGAAAAAAAAUCCCUAAAAGUGGCAGCAAGCCUCCUGUAAUUCUCUCAGAUGUGCCGUGCAAAACCCAUGACCUGUUUGGGGGCUGGGUUUUGUGGAGGUGGAGGGGAGAGAGUUGUGUGGUUUGACUGUGCUGUUUGCAUUUCUGCCAAGACACAAUUUGCUGCAUAACCCUUGUGCACACAUGACCUACAAACACUGCACGAUUCAUGCUCAGCUCAUGCACUGUGCCUCAGCGCAGCAGGCCCGAGCAGCCUACUUUCCUCCUCUUGUUUGCUCAGCAAUGCUACCAAAAGCCUUAGAACUGCAGCAGAGAUACGCUUCCCCAGGACCACCCCCAAUCCAGGAAUUCAAACUGCACCGAGCUUUGUAAAUCCCUCAGUACACAGAAGCCUGCGUGCAGGAUUUGUACGCUCAGAAAUUCAAAGGUUUUCUGU
This is a long non-coding RNA of Anas platyrhynchos (mallard), 1342 nucleotides long. RefSeq lists it as uncharacterized. Lineage: Eukaryota; Metazoa; Chordata; Aves; Anseriformes; Anatidae. The record is from RefSeq and is a predicted model, not a curated record.